GCCGUCCUUAUCUUGGGGUUGCGCUACUGUUCAAUGAACGUAUAGUGAGAGCAGUACUGCUAACACCUACACAACACAAAGGCAUCCCUGGGGUUUUACCGCCCCAAUGAGGUGCAAUUUUUGGAACC
Varanus komodoensis (Komodo dragon) is the source of this 128-nucleotide small nuclear RNA. NCBI's taxonomy places the organism in Eukaryota, Metazoa, Chordata, Lepidosauria, Squamata, Varanidae. The record is from Ensembl.